Capsicum annuum is the source of this 1656-nucleotide RNA transcript. RefSeq lists it as uncharacterized. The record is from RefSeq and is a predicted model, not a curated record. NCBI's taxonomy places the organism in Eukaryota, Viridiplantae, Streptophyta, Magnoliopsida, Solanales, Solanaceae. The transcript has 2 exons.
GACUAGUUUAUCCCAUGUUUGGUGUGAGGUAUUAGUUAGUACUGGGAUAAAUUAUCCCAUAUAUAUGAUGGGAUAAAUUAUCCCACCGAUCAAACGGGCCCCUACUCUUUGGAUAAUCUACCAUUUAUUUUUAAAAAUUUCUCCUUCCUUGUUUAUUAGCUCGUUUCAGUUCAUUGAUAUAUUAUCAUUGCAGGACUUGUUCAAUCAACUUGAGGAAUCGCGACUUUCGGAAAAAUGAAAUCUAUAAUCCACAAUGAGGUAUAUUUUGCCUAUUCCUUGUAAGAAAAUUGCAUCAAGCUUGGAAAGCAACAACAACAGAAAAAAGAAUUGAAGAAGAUUUUCAAACACAGUUCUUUUUCAUUAAGCAGCUUUAUUCGUUGAUCUUGAAGGGGAGCGUUGGAGUAACUGGUAAAGUCGUCACCAUGUGAACAGGAGUUCAUGGGUUCAUGCAUUGGAAACAGUCUUUGGUGGAAAUGCCAGGGAAGACUGCAUACAAUACACCCUUGUGAUGGGGCCCUUCCCCGAACCCUAUGCAUAGCAAGAGCUUCAAUGCACCGGGCUGCUUUUUUUUUUUUUUUUAAAUUCGUUAAUCUUCGAUGUUUUAACAACAUGGCAUUUAAUAGAUAAUACUAAUGAUUGAUGAAUGUGACUUCUUUCGCAUCGUCCAUUAAUUAGGAUCCAGUUUUGUAGGAUUCAUAUUUAGCUAUAGACACAUGGGUUGGUCAGUAAUUGUAAUACCUAAAAUGUCUAAAAGCUCUAAUAUUUCUUUUUUAUUUGCUUUCAGUUAGGUUUUCUUUGAGUAAGGAGGUUGCGAUUUUCAAGUUGUACAACCAUCGAUUUUGGCUUGGUUGAGAUAUAUGAAGCAUGACUUGCUGCAAAUGGAGCAUACGACUCUAAUGGAACCCAAAGGUACUCUGGAGUGUGUCUGAUCACAAGAUGUGGUGUACAAAGGACAAAAGGCUACGCGCUUGAUCAUUGGUACCCUUGCUUACUAAAACUCAUCCUUCUCGGUGCUGCCAGUCGCUGCGUAGCAUUUUUGUUAUUGAUAACUUUCCAGAAAAAAUAAGACUUCAUUGUUGCUGUCUUGCUUCAUCACUUGGUAUACAAGGAAGAAAGCCAGUUUACAGUCUCAAUACCAUGACGAAAAUGUUGGGAAGACUCAAAAAGUUGGGUCCCUUGUGAAGAUUAUGGUACAUAACCUUGAUAUGAUUCAUGCCAAAAAUGUAAUUUACUCGAAACGGAUGGUAUGUAGCAGCAGGAGUCAAUUAAAAAAGGUUAUAUGAUUCUUUCUUCUUUAGAUGGAAAAUCAAAUGUAACAUGUGUUAACAGCAGUUUCUCUUGGAGAAUGAUUCUACCUGGUUCCUGAGCCUCAUUUUGUAGCCUUGAACCUCAAGAGAAAUAACUGAAAAUGUUCGUCCCGUCUUCGUGAAGGUGACAAGGAUAUGACUGAGAGUACACCACAGAAAUUGGAGGUUAUACCCAAAAGUUGAUAAAGAUGAGGAUAUUAACAUCAAAUUAUGUGAUAACAGCAUAAAUUCAGUUUUGAGUAGACAGUACAUCUUUUCUGUUCACAAAAUUCUGCUGUUUUUUUUUCUUUUUCUUUUUGAUUGGUAACAUUGAAGGGGAGUCUUGGAUUAGCUAGUAAUGUUGUUGCCA